GACGAACGCUGGCGGCGUGCUUAACACAUGCAAGUCGAACGGUAAGGCCCUUCGGGGUACACGAGUGGCGAACGGGUGAGUAACACGUGGGUGAUCUGCCCUGCACUUCGGGAUAAGCCUGGGAAACUGGGUCUAAUACCGGAUAGGACUCCUGGCUUCAUGGUUGGGGGUGGAAAGCUUUUGCGGUGUGGGAUGGGCCCGCGGCCUAUCAGCUUGUUGGUGGGGUAAUGGCCUACCAAGGCGACGACGGGUAGCCGGCCUGAGAGGGUGACCGUUCACACUGGGACUGAGAUACGGCCCAGACUCCUACGGGAGGCAGCAGUGGGGAAUAUUGCACAAUGCGCGGAAGCCUGAUGCAGCGACGCCGCGUGAGGGAUGACGGCCUUCGGGUUGUAAACCUCUGUCCUCAGGGACGAAAUAAAUGACGGUACCUGAGGAGGAAGCCCCGGCUAACUACGUGCCAGCCGCCGCCGUAA
Molecule: ribosomal RNA, 476 nt
Filed under: uncultured bacterium
Lineage: Bacteria
Description: partial 16S ribosomal RNA
Rfam family: Bacterial small subunit ribosomal RNA
Source: RNAcentral